AUAAACGCUGGCGGCGCACAUAAGACAUGCCAGUUGAACGGACUUAAUCGAAAUAUUUAUAUUUUGAAGCGGUUAGUGGCGGACUGGUGAGUAACGCGUAAGGAACCUGCCUAUUAGAGGGGAAUAACAGUGAGAAAUCAUUGCUAAUACCGCAUAUGCCAUAGAUAUCACAUGAUAACAGUGGGAAAGGAGCAAUCCGCUAAUAGAUGGCCUUGCGUCUGAUUAGAUAGUUGGUGGGGUAACGGCCUACCAAGUCGACGAUCAGUAGCCGGACUGAGAGGGUGAACGGCCACAUGGGGACUGAAGUCGGGCCAAGACUCCUACGGGAGGCAGCAGUGGGGAAUAUUGCGAAAGGGAGGAAACUCGGACGAAGUGACGCCGGGUAAAGGAAGAAGGUUUUCGGAUUGUAAACUAUUGUCGUUAGGGAAAAAAAAGGAAAGUACCAAAGGAGGAAGCCCCGGCUAACUACGU
RNAcentral lists this ribosomal RNA (471 nucleotides) under uncultured bacterium. Its description in RNAcentral is "partial 16S ribosomal RNA". It matches the Rfam family "Bacterial small subunit ribosomal RNA", at positions 30 to 506 of the family's 1533-position model. The record is from RNAcentral.